GCCCGGCUAGUUCAGUCGGUAGUACAUGUGACUCUUAAUCUCAGGGUCGUGGGUUCGAGCUCCACAUUGGGUG
This 73-nucleotide transfer RNA is filed under the name Danio rerio (zebrafish). It matches the Rfam family "tRNA". From Rfam's summary of the family: Transfer RNA (tRNA) molecules are approximately 80 nucleotides in length. The record is from Rfam by way of RNAcentral. Lineage: Eukaryota; Metazoa; Chordata; Actinopteri; Cypriniformes; Danionidae.